GAAUCAUCCCCUCCCUUCUCUGUGUUCUAUAAAUUUCUGUUAAGAGGGACCAACUGCCUCUUCUUGUUUUCUUGCCUCAGACUUGCCUCAUAUUGUUGUAUUUAGUUUCUCUCAUUAUGUCAUUUUGUUACACUAUUCUUUCUUUUUAAAGCUUAGUUUACAUUUACGUGAGCCACUUAUUCUUUCUCAAAGAAAAAGAAACUCUGCUGAAGAAAGGUGUGGAAUGUCCUAAACUGCAGGAGUGAGGGGAUAUUCCCAGUUUGAUUUAGUUAAUCAUCCCCCCACCUCCACAACAGGGAGAAGCCCAUGAUGGCUGCAACCACCAAUACCCCAGAGCUGGGUAAGUGGUCAAUCCCACAAACUGCAAUAAAUGAUUCCUAAAGACUUCUUAAUCAAUUGUUUCAGUUUCCCAAUAUAACUAGCUUAGUAGCUUAGUACAGAGUUCUGGUAGUAGUAGUAGUAGUAGUAGUAGUUGUAGUUUAUGAUAAUAAUAAUAAUAAUAAUUUAUUUAUACCCCGCCCAUCUGGCUGGGUUUCCCCAGCCACUCUGGGCAGCUUCCAACAAAAUAUUAAAAAUACAAUAAAAUACAUUUGACACUUAUCUGCAAAUUUGAUAAAUUAAUAGAUUAAGAUUUCAAAAUUCAAGUGACAGCCCCCAUUCUAAAACAUUAUUUACGUGUACUUUGCAGAAAGAUUGCACAACAAAUGUCAUAAAUAGCCUUCUCCUAUAGGUGUGCUGAGCCAAGCAGUUAGGAAAACUACAAGCUUUCCUUCAGUGUUGUUUUUUUAAUUCUCCCCUAUGAAUGAUUGCUUUAAGUUAAUUUUACAAUAACUUAAGAGUUUCCAUCAAUCUAGAACUCAUCAUUAAUGAAGUGUGCUGCUGUUGUUUUCUUUUCUUUGCUCGAUUCAUUUAAAAUGAGUAUCUUACACUGAAAUAAUUGUACACUGUCCAAUUUGAUGUAAUGUUUUUCUCCAUUAGGGUAGUUACAGAAUUACUCACAUCAAUAUUGCAUGCAAGGCAAGGAAGGGGAACCUGAGGCCUUCCAGAAGUUGUUGGACUACAAAUCUCAUCAGCUCCAGCCAGCAUCACCAAGGAUGAUGGGAAUUGUAGUCCAGCAAUCAAUUCUCUCCCAAAGUUGGGUGAAAAUACUGUAUGUGCCUUUCCAUGAUGACAGAAGCCCCAUAGCGAGGGACCAGCUGCAUCUUCAGAGAAAGGGAAUUCCAUAGUUGAGAUGCCAUUACUGAGAAGUCCCUACCCCAUGUCAUUAUACAACAGGCUACACCCAACAUUGAGAAGGGCCUUAUGAAUUAAUAUGAGGGUGUUGAAUUGGACCUGGUAACAUAUAGGCAACCAGUGAAGGUCCCUCAGAAUCUAAAAAAAAAAUCACCCAUUUCCCCAUGCUCAGGGCCUGUUCAGGACUGCCACAGAAUUUACACCUCUGUUGCAAAUGCUAAAGUAUCUGUUUAAUAACUGCCAGUUAAAAUGAGUAGUUUGAAAGGUAAGAACCUUCCGCCCAAAAAAAUCAAAAUAAAAAAUCAAUAGAUUAUGAUACACUGAUUUAUCAAGAUUUUUUUUUCUAAUUCUUUCAUGGUAGAAAGCAUGAGGGAAAGAGAAGGAGGGAGGAAGAAAGCAAAGUCAGCCACAGAGUGUCAGUUUACCUUCCUCUCUUUUUCUCCCUGGAGGGAAAUAUUCAAUUUAUCUUUGAGGGUAAAUGUUGAUGCAACAAAUAGUCAUUAUGUAACUAUGCUCAGCUCAGGAAAACCUGAAAUGGAUUUUCAGGCUAUUUGUCAAGUUAUUCCUUCAAGCAGGACACUUGGUAUGGAUUUUUUAAAAGCUGACCCUGCUCAAAAUACACUGAGCUCCACUGUAGAGUGAACAUAGCAGCAUGUGCUAUAAUGUAAAAUUACUUAUUAUUGCUUAAAACAAUAAUAAAAUGAUCAGCUUGACAGUAAAGAGUAAUUGCAUGCAAAAGGCACACUUCUAAUAAACAAAUACUGUAUUAGGAUUAACAAAACCGUUUUGUAUUUGUCUUCAGUGUGUUGACCUAAUACUCUUUCCACAAGGGCCAACAUUGAUGCUAAAAUCCAGAAUCACCUGAGCUCUGCGAGUGCGGCUUUCUCCCGAUUGAAGUGCAGAGUGUAUGAGGACUGGGACAUUCGCAGGGAAACCAAAAUGCUUGUUUACAAAGCUAUAGUACUCCCAACCUUACUGUAUGCUUGUGAAACAUGGACCACUUAUAAACGCCAUCUCCAACUCCUUGAAAGAUUCCAUCAGCGGUGUCUCCAAAAAAUUUUACACAUCACUUCGGAAGACAAGCAAACUAAUGGUAGUGUACUGGAAGAAGCAAAGAUCACCAGUGUUGAAGCAAUGAUUCUUCAACAUCAACUUCAUUGGACUGGUCAUGUUGUUCGGAUGCCUGAUUAUCAUAUUCCAAAGCAACCACUCUUUUCUGAACUUAAAAAUGGAAAGUGUAAUGCUGGUGGUCAACAAAAGAGGUUUAAAGACUAUCUCAUGGCAAAUUUUAAAAAAUGUGGUAUAAACACCAACAAUUGGGAAACCCUUGCCUGCGAGCACUCCAAUUGGAGAACAGCCUUUACCAAAGGUGUCAUGGGCUUUGAAGGCACUCAAACUCAGGACACAAGGGAGAAAGGUGCUAAGAGGAAGGCAUGCUUGGCAAAUCCACACCUUGAUCAACUCCUACCCAGAAACCAAUGUCCCCACUGUGGAAGGAUGUGUGGAUCCAGAAUUGGCCACCACAGUCACUUAUGGACUCAUUGUUAAAACCGUGUUUAUGGAAGACAAUCAUACUCAGUUACGAGUGAUCGCCAAAGAAAAAGACUUAAUUUACACUUUCCUUGAGGCUGGAGGAUCUCAAACAAUCUAAAUGAAUUGUUUCCUGCAAUAAAUGCUUUAAAAGUUACCUUGAGGGUAACUUAAUACAAAUGUGUAUUUUGCUGGACAAUCUACCAUGAAGAAAUUCCCUAACAGCUUUGGGACCCUGAACUCAACCCUCACCUAGCUUAAUUAGGUAAUUAGGUAAUCUCCCACAGAAGAAAAUAUUGUUCAGAAAGAAAUAAAAGCAUCCAUAAUGUUUUGGGCUAGGUCCUGGUUGCAGAACAGAACCAAUAACAGGAUGGGUAAUACUAUGUCUUGCAAUGGUUAAAAACAACUAGGUGAGAACUAGGCUAGGUGAGAAUUGACUUCAUGGUCCCAAAUCUCUUAUGGAAUUGUAAAAACAAAAGGGGGCUACUAACAGCAACAUUUGAGCAAAAGUGCAGAUAAUCAGCUACAAAUUCACUCUUAAAAAUGUUGGAUCAAUCAGCCACAAUAACACUAAAAAUGCCAAGUGUGGAAAGGCUCUAGCUAAGGAAGAGUCAACGGCAACUGGUCUCUCAGCUAAGUUGAUGGCUUUACAGUAACAGGCAUGAAUAAGCCACAAAGCUAAUGCAAGGAAACCACUUACAGUGGUUUGUUUUCCUGCCCAAAGUUUGAACUGAAAAUACAAUCUGACAUCAUUAGCAAGCCAGUAGCUGAUAUGUGGCAUCAGCUGAAUGUAGAUCUUCUGUAUUUGUUAAAGUACAAUAAUCUAUGCAUCACGACUUUUCAGUGGUGACCUACUGGUUAAGGAGUGCUUCUCUGAAGAGUUUGUCUGAUCUUUUCAGCACCAGGUAAAACACUCCCCCCCCCCAAAGCUUUUGAAAUAUGAACUUUUGUAUUCCCUGAAUUUGACAUCUAUUGUAUGCUUUUAAUGUAUUUCUCUGGAAACUCCAUAGCUCAGUGUUAGAGCAUCUGCUUUGCAUGCAGAACGUUCCAGAAGGUACCUGACCCCUUCAGGUAGGUCUAGGAAAGAUCCCUGCCUGAAACCCUGGGUUGUAGACAAUACUGACUUAGAUGAACCAACUAAGUACAAGUGCUGCUUCCAUUUUGAUGUUGAUUUUUCGGUGCAGCAAUUUAUUUACUAUUUUUGGUUUCUUCCGCAUCUAUACUGUAUUUGCAUGUUUAUUGUUGGUAACCCACCCAGAAAAUACCAAUACCAAAUGGCAUAUAAAUAUUGUUAAUAAUAAAAUGUGAAAAUUCUGGAAUGAGGUACAUACUAUAAAUUAGUUGUUUUCUGGUUUGUGUCAAAGCACAUGUUUUGAAAGAAAUUAUUUUUAAAAAAAGAAGAUUGGGAGAGAGGAGAUACAAAUCAGCACAGGAACCAGUAAUACAGAACUAUACCUCAAAGGUUUUAUAAAUUUGUAUGUUUGCUCAUGUAAUAAACUGCACCAUAAUCAGGAGAGAUUUGAUUUAUUGCCUGGUUUGACUAACAUCACAAUCCCAUUUCCAUCUCUGAG
Molecule: non-coding RNA, 4334 nt
Organism: Podarcis lilfordi (Lilford's wall lizard)
Lineage: Eukaryota; Metazoa; Chordata; Lepidosauria; Squamata; Lacertidae
Source: the annotation of a GenBank genome assembly